Molecule: ribosomal RNA, 214 nt
Filed under: uncultured bacterium
Lineage: Bacteria
Description: partial 16S ribosomal RNA
Rfam family: Bacterial small subunit ribosomal RNA
Source: RNAcentral
CCCAGUUCAGAUCGCAGUCUGCAACUCGACUGCGUGAAGUCGGAAUCGCUAGUAAUCGCGGAUCAGCAUGCCGCGGUGAAUACGUUCCCGGGCCUUGUACACACCGCCCGUCACACCAUGAGAGUCGGGAACACCCGAAGCCCGUAGCCUAACAGCAAUGAGGGCGCGGUCGAAGGUGGGUUCGAUAAUUGGGGUGAAGUCGUAACAAGGUAGC